RNAcentral lists this ribosomal RNA (406 nucleotides) under uncultured bacterium. RNAcentral's name for it is "partial 16S ribosomal RNA". It matches the Rfam family "Bacterial small subunit ribosomal RNA", at positions 30 to 526 of the family's 1533-position model. The record is from RNAcentral.
AUUGAACGCUGGCGGCAUGCCUAACACAUGCAAGUCGAACGAGUAGCGGACGGGUGAGUAAUGUCUGGGAAACUGCCUGCUGGAGGGGGAUAACUACUGGAAACGGUAGCUAAUACCGCAUACCAUCGGAUGUGCCCCGAUGGGAUUUGCUAGGAGGUGGGUGAACGGCUCACUGUGGCGACGAUCCCUAGCUGGUCUGAGAGUAUGACCAGCCACACUGGAACGGGGACACGGUCCAGAGUCCUACGGGAGGCAGCAGUGGGGAAUAUGGGACAAUGGGCGCAAGCCUGAUGCAGCCAUGCCGCGUGUAUGAAGAAGGCGUUCGGGGUGUAAAGUACUUUCAGCGGGGAGGCGUUACCCGCAGAAGAAGCACCGGCUAACUCCGUGCCAGCAGCCGCGGUAAUUC